RNAcentral lists this ribosomal RNA (880 nucleotides) under uncultured Kingella sp. RNAcentral describes it as "bacterial SSU rRNA". It matches the Rfam family "Bacterial small subunit ribosomal RNA". Lineage: Bacteria; Pseudomonadati; Pseudomonadota; Betaproteobacteria; Neisseriales; Neisseriaceae. The record is from RNAcentral.
AUUGAACGCUGGCGGCAUGCUUUACACAUGCAAGUCGGACGGCAGCGGGGGUGCUUGCACCUGCCGGCGAGUGGCGAACGGGUGAGUAAUAUAUUGGAACGUACCGAGUAGUGGGGGAUAACUAAGCGAAAGUUUAGCUAAUACCGCAUACGACCUGAGGGUGAAAGCGGGGGACGGGAGACUGCCUCGCGCUAUUUGAGCGGCCAAUAACUGAUUAGCUAGUUGGUGGGGUAAAGGCCUACCAAGGCGAUGAUCAGUAGCGGGUCUGAGAGGAUGAUCCGCCACACUGGGACUGAGAGACGGCCCAGACUCCUACGGGAGGCAGCAGUGGGGAAUUUUGGACAAUGGGGGCAACCCUGAUCCAGCCAUGCCGCGUGUCUGAAGAAGGCCUUCGGGUUGUAAAGGACUUUUGUUAGGGAAGAAAAGGGAAGUGCUAAUAUCACUUUUUGCUGACGGUACCUAAAGAAUAAGCACCGGCUAACUACGUGCCAGCAGCCGCGGUAAUACGUAGGGUGCGAGCGUUAAUCGGAAUUACUGGGCGUAAAGCGAGCGCAGACGGUUAUUUAAGUCAGAUGUGAAAUCCCCGAGCUUAACUUGGGAACUGCGUUUGAAACUGGGUAACUAGAGUAUGUCAGAGGGGGGUAGAAUUCCACGUGUAGCAGUGAAAUGCGUAGAGAUGUGGGAGGAAUACCGAUGGCGAAGGCAGCCCCCUGGGAUAAUACUGACGUUCAUGCUCGAAAGCGUGGGGUACAAACAGGAUUAUAUACUCUGUUAGUCCAAGGGGAAAUUCCACAGUGGAUAUCAAGCUUAUCGAUACCCUCAACCUCCAGGGGGGGGCCCGGUACCCAGUUUUUUUUUCCCUUUAAUGAAGGUUUAUUAA